GAUGAAGAACGUAGUAAAAUGCGAUAAGUAAUGUGAAUUGCAGAAUUCAGUGAAUCAUCGAAUCUUUGAACGCACCUUGCACCCUUUGGCAUUCCGAAGGGUAUGCUCGUUUGAGUGUCAUUGUACUCUCACACUCUCCGAUCCUAUGGAUUCGGGGAGCGGUGGACUUGGGUGUUGCUGCCUUUCCUUGUGGCUCACCUCAAAUGUGUCAGUGCACCUCUUGGUUGGACAUAGUACGGCGUGAUAAGUGUCUUCGCCGGCACCUCGCAAGAGGGUGGCCGAUCGGGAGCUCUGUGCUUUCAAACCGUCUUCGGACAAUUUCUGACAACUUGACCUCAAAUCGAGUAGGACUACCCGCUGAACUUAAGCAUAUCAAUAAGCGGAGGA
RNAcentral lists this unclassified non-coding RNA (387 nucleotides) under soil metagenome. RNAcentral describes it as "partial contains 5.8S ribosomal RNA, internal transcribed spacer 2, and large subunit ribosomal RNA". The stretch from base 1 to 120 matches the Rfam family "5.8S ribosomal RNA", at positions 35 to 154 of the family's 154-position model. The record is from RNAcentral.